Molecule: ribosomal RNA, 1492 nt
Filed under: metagenome
Description: bacterial SSU rRNA
Rfam family: Bacterial small subunit ribosomal RNA
Source: RNAcentral
AGAGUUAGAUCCUGGCUCAGAUUGAACGCUGGCGGCAUGCCUUACACAUGCAAGUCGAACGGCAGCACGGGUGCUUGCACCUGGUGGCGAGUGGCGAACGGGUGAGUAAUAUAUCGGAACGUGCCCUAGAGUGGGGGAUAACGUAGCGAAAGUUACGCUAAUACCGCAUACGAUCUACGGAUGAAAGUGGGGGAUCGCAAGACCUCAUGCUCCUGGAGCGGCCGAUAUCUGAUUAGCUAGUUGGUGGGGUAAUAGCCCACCAAGGCGACGAUCAGUAGCUGGUCUGAGAGGACGACCAGCCACACUGGGACUGAGACACGGCCCAGACUCCUACGGGAGGCAGCAGUGGGGAAUUUUGGACAAUGGGGGAAACCCUGAUCCAGCAAUGCCGCGUGUGUGAAGAAGGCCUUCGGGUUGUAAAGCACUUUUGUCAGGAACGAAACGGUGGGGGCUAAUACCCUCUGCUAAUGACGGUACCUGAAGAAUAAGCACCGGCUAACUACGUGCCAGCAGCCGCGGUAAUACGUAGGGUGCGAGCGUUAAUCGGAAUUACUGGGCGUAAAGCGUGCGCAGGCGGUUGUGCAAGACAGAUGUGAAAUCCCCGGGCUUAACCUGGGAAUUGCAUUUGUGACUGCACGGCUAGAGUGUGUCAGAGGGGGGUAGAAUUCCACGUGUAGCAGUGAAAUGCGUAGAUAUGUGGAGGAAUACCGAUGGCGAAGGCAGCCCCCUGGGAUAACACUGACGCUCAUGCACGAAAGCGUGGGGAGCAAACAGGAUUAGAUACCCUGGUAGUCCACGCCCUAAACGAUGUCUACUAGUUGUCGGGUCUUAAUUGACUUGGUAACGCAGCUAACGCGUGAAGUAGACCGCCUGGGGAGUACGGUCGCAAGAUUAAAACUCAAAGGAAUUGACGGGGACCCGCACAAGCGGUGGAUGAUGUGGAUUAAUUCGAUGCAACGCGAAAAACCUUACCUACCCUUGACAUGUACGGAACCCUGCUGAGAGGUGGGGGUGCUCGAAAGAGAGCCGUAACACAGGUGCUGCAUGGCUGUCGUCAGCUCGUGUCGUGAGAUGUUGGGUUAAGUCCCGCAACGAGCGCAACCCUUGUCAUUAGUUGCUACGAAAGGGCACUCUAAUGAGACUGCCGGUGACAAACCGGAGGAAGGUUGGGGAUGACGUCAAGUCCUCAUGGCCCUUAUGGGUAGGGCUUCACACGUCAUACAAUGGUACAUACAGAGGGCCGCCAACCCGCGAGGGGGAGCUAAUCCCAGAAAGUGUAUCGUAGUCCGGAUUGUAGUCUGCAACUCGACUACAUGAAGUUGGAAUCGCUAGUAAUCGCGGAUCAGCAUGUCGCGGUGAAUACGUUCCCGGGUCUUGUAGACACCGCCCGUCACACCAUGGGAGCGGGUUUUACCAGAAGUAGGUAGCUUAACCGCAAGGAGGGCGCUUACCACGGUAGGAUUCGUGACUGGGGUGAAGUCGUAACAAGGUA